This 2382-nucleotide long non-coding RNA is filed under the name Strigops habroptila (Kakapo). RNAcentral's name for it is "lncRNA (ENSSHBG00005001651.1)". The record is from RNAcentral. Lineage: Eukaryota; Metazoa; Chordata; Aves; Psittaciformes; Psittacidae.
ACAUUUUUCAUUUGUUCGACCUACUCCUAAAUCUUUAUAAACUGAUCAUCAUUUAUGAUUUCUUGAAAUGGCAGAAAAACACCGAAAACAUAAAGACCAUAAUAACCAUAGCAGGAAGACUUUAUCUGGAUUUAUUUCUUAUGAUGCAUGCACCUGAAGAACCACAGCUGAAAAACCAGGCUCCCACUCCAGGAUACUACAGGGGUCCCUGCUGUGACAUAUGCAGACCAAUUGCAUAUCUGCAGGAGCACGAGAGAGCCACUCAUGCUGUAUCCAAGGAGCUGGGUUUCAAGGGCAAGCUGAAGGACAAGUGGUUCAGCAAAGCUUCUGCCCCCAGGCAUGCAGAGGACUUCAGAAGAGGUGUGAAGCCUGGUGUGGGGACACCAGAUUGUGCCACGGCAGUCACAGCCUACAUUUUGUGAAAAAAAACCUCAACUCAGUGUUUCUGGUUCAUGAGGAUCAGUUCCAAAUUUGUGUUUGUGGCUGAAACAUGUUAGUUUAAAUUUUAUGUAUGUUUCUUCUGUACAUAAGGCUGUAUUGCAUUUACACCAUGAAGCUGCACAGUCUUUGGUGGUGUCUCUCCCUGCCCUGGAUUCCCUUUAGUCAAUAGCCAGCUGUAGGUGCCUGUCCUUUCUAGGAAAAUCAACCUAGCAGGAUCUAAAGGCAGAUCUGAGUUUAUCUUGCUUUGACCUGGCGCUCAAUAGGUCUCAACAGAUUUUAACAGGCAGUUUUGUGAAAGUUUCUGCUAGAGAUGGAGGCCAACUGAAAUGGGGAAGCAGCUGGUGAUGGCAGGCUAAACUGAGUACCAACAGGAACGCAUGAGCACCAGGUUCAAAAGGAUCUGCUCUAAGAAUUGUGUUUCCAUUCUGUAGAAUUAGAGGUUAACAACCAGUAUAAUAUUGUUUUGCACAGAGGAACAGAGUCAAAUACUCUCACUUUCCACAGUAGUAGGUACUCCAUGCAAGAAUCUGCACUAAUGAAAGGAAGUGAUUGUGCCAUAUAAUAAUGAAAAUUUCAGUUAAAACGAUUAACUUCAGGAAACAACAAAGACCCUGAAGUAAUAUUUUGGGAAAAUAUUUCCAUUUAAAACUAAUGAUGGGGCAAGGCAGGACCAAGAACAGUGGAAAAUCAUGACUGAGGGGACCUGAAAGAACGGAAAUGAGCUUGAGAAAAAUAAAUCAAACUGCAAUGGGACCUCUUAGAGUGAGGCAAGCCAUGAGAUCUCAGGCAGAUAAUGCCAUUCUUAAGUGCUGUGAUACAUCGACUUCUGCGAAAGAGCUUAUCUAGCAGUAUGCUGGAGCCUGUGGCUACGCUCAUAUCAGGAAGUUGUGAGGAGCAAUGGAAGUACAUCUGCAGGGCAAACCAGGUGAUGCUUAGAGUCCAAUAUCUUCACUCUACAAAUUUCUGGGGUUUUAAAUCACCAUUUUCUUUCAGACAAGCUCCAAGCGUGGUCUCGUGAACUGGUUGCUAGCUGCUUGUUUGUAACCAAGGUUCAGUAAAGGUGUUCCUGGAAUGCAUCCAGCCAGUUUCAUACAAAAAUUACUCCAUUCAUGCAUACCUUGAUGUGUGAGUCCUUCUUUGAAGCAAACCAAAACACAGGAUAGGAAGAUGGUUGGGAAUUUCUCUCCUAAAGAGUAUUCACCAUCUGAGAUGGCACACUGAGGUAUGAUGCAGCUACUGGUUCAAGAAAUCUCUCUCAGACCUAAGCUGUUAAUUGUUUACCUUUCACUAAAGACAAGAUUCAGGAUCUCUUAAGUCAAUUUAGUAAAUCUCUGCUCACUCAAACAGACUUUUCAGCUUCAAUGAAGGUACUCAUGUGAAUUAAAUAUUAAUCUGUGAACAUAGUGGUUGCUGAUUUAAUCCAAUCAGGUUAUACUCUCUGGUUGUUUAUGCAGCAAUUUGUUUAAAAGGGACAUAGAAGUUUUGUUUAGACUGCUUUUGGGAUCAGAACUGGGUUUAGUUUUAGGAAUUAUAGGCUUGUCCCUUCAAAUUCUUACUACUGAUCUUGCAAGCUUAAUUCUCCAAGACACUGGUCGCUCUGGCCUUUCUCCAGCUAAACACUCGGGCUGCUGGUUAACUUUUAAGCCUGGAAACAAUACUUCCAUACUGAGCAGACUCCUUGAGCUUGUACUGAGCACCCACUCCAGGGGUCUUCGUGGGUGAACGGUAAGUGUUUCCAGGGUUGGUCCCAGUUUCUCCGAGGGCAAAGUUGUUUGAGAGUUUAGUAAGCACCAAGAAAAGUUUUGCUGUGACAUUUUUCAAGUAUUGUGAAAAUCCUGUUAACCACUCACUAGUGUGCUAUAUUUGUGUUAUCUUGGAGCGGAUACGUUUCUCACUUACUGGAACUUUAACAGCUAAUAAAAAUAGAACUUCUGAACUUUC